GAUGAACGCUAGCGGGAGGCCUAACACAUGCAAGCCGAGCGGUAUUUGUUCUUCGGAACAGAGAGAGCGGCGCACGGGUGCGGAACACGUGUGCAACCUGCCUUUAUCUGGGGGAUAGCCUUUCGAAAGGAAGAUUAAUACCCCAUAAUAUAUUGAGUGGCAUCAUUUGAUAUUGAAAACUCCGGUGGAUAGAGAUGGGCACGCGCAAGAUUAGAUAGUUGGUGAGGUAACGGCUCACCAAGUCAAUGAUCUUUAGGGGGCCUGAGAGGGUGAUCCCCCACACUGGUACUGAGACACGGACCAGACUCCUACGGGAGGCAGCAGUGAGGAAUAUUGGACAAUGGGUUAGCGCCUGAUCCAGCCAUCCCGCGUGAAGGACGCCGGCCCUAUGGGUUGUAAACUUCUUUUGUAUAGGGAUAAACCUACUCUCGUGAGAGUAGCUGAAGGUACUAUACGAAUAAGCACCGGCUAACUCCGUG
Molecule: ribosomal RNA, 479 nt
Filed under: uncultured bacterium
Lineage: Bacteria
Description: partial 16S ribosomal RNA
Rfam family: Bacterial small subunit ribosomal RNA
Source: RNAcentral